GCCGACUUAGCUCAGCAGGCAGAGCAACUGACUUGUAAUCAUCAGGUCACCGGUUCGAUUCCGGUAGUCGGCACCA
This 76-nucleotide transfer RNA is filed under the name Escherichia sp. 20412-1. RNAcentral describes it as "tRNA-Thr". It matches the Rfam family "tRNA". From Rfam's summary of the family: Transfer RNA (tRNA) molecules are approximately 80 nucleotides in length. Their secondary structure includes four short double-helical elements and three loops (D, anti-codon, and T loops). Further hydrogen bonds mediate the characteristic L-shaped molecular structure. tRNAs have two regions of fundamental functional importance: the anti-codon, which is responsible for specific mRNA codon recognition, and the 3' end, to which the tRNAs corresponding amino acid is attached (by aminoacyl-tRNA synthetases). tRNAs cope with the degeneracy of the genetic code in two manners: having more than one tRNA (with a specific anti-codon) for a particular amino acid; and 'wobble' base-pairing, i.e. permitting non-standard base-pairing at the 3rd anti-codon position. The record is from RNAcentral. Lineage: Bacteria; Pseudomonadati; Pseudomonadota; Gammaproteobacteria; Enterobacterales; Enterobacteriaceae.